Molecule: ribosomal RNA, 450 nt
Filed under: uncultured bacterium
Lineage: Bacteria
Description: partial 16S ribosomal RNA
Rfam family: Bacterial small subunit ribosomal RNA
Source: RNAcentral
GUGGGGAAUAUUGGACAAUGGGCGAAAGCCUGAUCCAGCCAUGCCGCGUGUGUGAAGAAGGUCUUCGGAUUGUAAAGCACUUUAAGUUGGGAGGAAGGGCAGUAAGUUAAUACCUUGCUGUUUUGACGUUACCGACAGAAUAAGCACCGGCUAACUUCGUGCCAGCAGCCGCGGUAAUACGAAGGGUGCAAGCGUUAAUCGGAAUUACUGGGCGUAAAGCGCGCGUAGGUGGUUUUGUAAGUUGGAGGUGAAAUCCCCGGGCUCAACCUGGGAACUGCCUCCAAAACUGCAUGACUAGAGUACGGUAGAGGGUAGUGGAAUUUCCUGUGUAGCGGUGAAAUGCGUAGAUAUAGGAAGGAACACCAGUGGCGAAGGCGACUACCUGGACUGAUACUGACACUGAGGUGCGAAAGCGUGGGGAGCAAACAGGAUUAGAUACCUCAGUAGUCC